This is a small nucleolar RNA of Coffea arabica (coffee), 107 nucleotides long. The record is from RefSeq and is a predicted model, not a curated record. Lineage: Eukaryota; Viridiplantae; Streptophyta; Magnoliopsida; Gentianales; Rubiaceae.
AUUUGAUGUUGGGGGCACUUGAUGCACAACUUUUUAAACCGCUCCCAGUAGUCAUAAAGCGACUCCCCUGGAUGUUGUUUGAUCCCACAAAUUUCUUUCCUUAGACU